This 407-nucleotide ribosomal RNA is filed under the name uncultured bacterium. RNAcentral's name for it is "partial 16S ribosomal RNA". It matches the Rfam family "Bacterial small subunit ribosomal RNA", at positions 30 to 526 of the family's 1533-position model. The record is from RNAcentral.
AUUGAACGCUGGCGGCAGGCCUAACACAUGCAAGUCGAGCGGAGUGGCGGACGGGUGCGUAAUGCCUAGUAAUCUGCCUGGUCGUGGGGGAUAACGUCCGGAAACUGGCGCUAAUCUCGCAUACUAUCAGAUGAGCCUAGGUCGGAUUAGCUAGUUGGUGGGGUAACGGCCUACCAAGGCGCACAUCCGUAAAUGGUCUGAGCGGAUGAUCAGUCACACUGGAACGGAGACACGGUCCAGACUCCUACGGGAGGCAGCAGUGGGGAAUAUUGGACAAUGGGCGAAAGCCUGAUCCAGCCAUGCCGCGUGUGUGAAGAAGGUCUGCGGAUUGUAAAGCACUUUAAGUUGGGAGGCGUUACCAACAGAAUAAGCACCGGCUAACUUCGUGCCAGCAGCCGCGGUAAUAC